GAUGAAGAACGUAGCGAAAUGCGAUAAGUAAUGUGAAUUUCAGAAUUCAGUGAAUCAUCGAAUCUUUGAACGCACAUUGCGCCCGCCAGUAUUCUGGCGGGCAUGCCUGUUCGAGCGUCAUUUCAACCAUCAAGCCCCCGGCUUGUGUUGGGGACCUGCGGCUGCCGCAGGCCCUGAAAACCAGUGGCGGGCUCGCUAGUCACUCCGAGCGUAGUAAUACAUCUCGCUCAGGGCGUGCUGCGGGUUCCGGCCGUUAAAAAGCCUUAUUUACCCAAGGUUGACCUCGGAUCAGGUAGGAAGACCCGCUGAACUUAAGCAUAUCAAUAAGCGGAGGA
RNAcentral lists this unclassified non-coding RNA (335 nucleotides) under soil metagenome. RNAcentral's name for it is "partial contains 5.8S ribosomal RNA, internal transcribed spacer 2, and large subunit ribosomal RNA". The stretch from base 1 to 120 matches the Rfam family "5.8S ribosomal RNA", at positions 35 to 154 of the family's 154-position model. The record is from RNAcentral.